CGGAGGAUCCAAGCGUUAUCCGGAAUCAUUGGGUUUAAAGGGUCCGUAGGCGGUUUGAUAAGUCAGUGGUGAAAGCCCAUCGCUCAACGAUGGAACGGCCAUUGAUACUGUCAGACUUGAAUUACUGGGAAGUAACUAGAAUAUGUAGUGUAGCGGUGAAAUGCUUAGAUAUUACAUGGAAUACCAAUUGCGAAGGCAGGUUACUACCAGUGGAUUGACGCUGAUGGACGAAGGCGUGGGGAGCGAACAGGAUUAGAUACCCUGGUAGUCCACGCCGUAAACGAUGGAUACUAGCUGUUGGGCGCAAGUUCAGUGGCUAAGCGAAAGUGAUAAGUAUCCCACUGGGGAGUACGUUCGCAAGAAUG
This 365-nucleotide ribosomal RNA is filed under the name uncultured organism. RNAcentral describes it as "bacterial SSU rRNA". It matches the Rfam family "Bacterial small subunit ribosomal RNA", at positions 526 to 896 of the family's 1533-position model. The record is from RNAcentral.